This 2353-nucleotide long non-coding RNA is filed under the name Nicotiana tabacum (common tobacco). RNAcentral's name for it is "long non-coding RNA (NTAB_LNC012283)". Lineage: Eukaryota; Viridiplantae; Streptophyta; Magnoliopsida; Solanales; Solanaceae. The record is from RNAcentral.
UUGAGUAAUAGAAGAAAUGUAUUUCUCUAGAAUGUUCUCAAAAGCUCUCAAACCCUAGAUUAUUUUUCUUUGAUAUACACUUCAAUUUGAGUUUUUACAUGGUAUCAGAGCGGGGUUUUGGGAGACCUCAUCAUCAUCUUUCGAGCAGUGGUACUCUCGGCCUAUUUCGCCGGAGUUUCGUCGGUUUCUCUGUUCGCCGGUCGUUAGAUUCUUUUUUUGUUUUUUUGGUGGGAUUCAGAGUUCUCAUUUAAUUUUCUCCACUCAAUCGUCGUUUUGGUGGUGUUUUUGUUUACGGUUGGAGUUUCUUUGCUUACCUUCAGAACUAGGGUUUCUUCCGGUAACGUGAAGGGUAUUUCUCAUCAUUUGUUGCUGUGAGUUUUUGAUAAUUGAAGGUUGCGCUUCUUCCGGUUAUGAAGAAGUGUGGUAAACCUAUUUCACUCUCUAUAUUCUUCCAUGAUUGUGGAUUGAGUCAUUAUGAAAAACUUGCUCUUCUAUUGUUAGUAUUUACAUGUGUAGAUUUGAUUCAUGUAGAUGUUGAUAUUCGGAUAGUUGUCUUGGUAUUCUGGGUUAGCAGUUUUCCUGUUUCACUUAACUCUAAAAAUAGGAAGCUCUAGUGAUAGUGAUUAUAAAUUUACUUCUCAUUCUUCUAGUCCUCUAUUCAUUCACUCCUUUGACAUUCCUGGAAUGUCACUAGUUAGUAUUCUUUUUUGAUGGGUAUGGUUUUGGUGGAUGGAGAAAGAGCAUAAUUAUAUCAUUGUUUGCCAGAAAUAAAGUUUCAUCGAUUGUACAUGUCCUAACCAACUGAAAGAUCUCCCGAGUUCAAACAAUAGGAUAAGUCUAACAAUAUGGUUAUUUCUUGGCUAACAAGUUCUCUUUCUCCUGAAAUUGCUGAGAGUGUACAAUACUCUGAUACUACUGAAAGUAUAUGGAAGCAGUUAAAUCAUAGAUAUGGGACGGUAAAUGGGACACACAAAUUUUAAAUAAAGAAAGAAUUAUCUUCCACAUUCCAGGGACCUCUUGACAUAGCCUCGUACUUUAACAAAUUGAAAAAAACUUUGGGAUGAAAUGGAGAUCAUGGGCUCAAAUCAUUCUAAGAGUUGUACUUAUGCUGCAAAACCUGGUUCACUAAAGGAAGAUGAAGAGAAUAAAAUCCACCAUUUUUUAAUGGGUCUCAAUGAAAUAUACGUCAAUGUAAGAAGUAAUAUACUGAUGAUGAAUCCACUUCCUUCACUUGAUAGUGUAUACAAUAUUCUUUUGCAAGAUGAAAAGCAAAGACAAGUGAUUCCUAGUACUCAAUUUUCUCCUGAUCUGGCCUCCUUUAAUGUCAAUGCAACCAAUGAAUUUCCUCCACACAGAUAAUUCAAUCAGAAGGUUAAUUUUGAUACAAAUAACUAGGGUUCUCUUUUUUGUAAAUAUUGUAAGAAGAGUGGACAUACUAUUGAUAAAUUCUACAAAUUGAAUGGAUUUCCCCAACUUUUCAAGUUUACUAAGGGCAAAAAAUUUGAUACUGUUAUAAAUGAUGAGUCUUCAUCUUCUAGGAAUCCCGAAUUUGGUCCACUAUGUGCUUUCACUGGUCUGGAUUCUUUGUUGUCCUCUUACUAAGGAAAUAAUAUUUCUAGCUCAUGAAUCUACUACAGCAGUCCAACUGUCUUGCUUCCACUCCUCAGCCCAACCUUAUGGGUUCUGCCAACUUUGUUGGUAGUAAUCUCCCCACUCUGAGUUUAAUCAUGUUGCUUAUUCUGCUUGCAUGUUGACUAGCAUGGCAAAAUGUGUUUGGAUUAGACUCAGGAGCGACUAACCUCUGACCUUUGAUAAAGAACUUCUUAUUGAUAUCACACCUUUUUCUAUCCCUUAUUUUGUUACUUUGCCUAAUAGAUAUAAACUAAAGGUUACCUAUACAUGAUCACUCACUUUAUCUUCUACUUCUACUCUAUAUAAAGUACUUUACAUUCCUACUUUCAAUUACAACCUCAUUUACGUAUACAUAUUAAUUCAACAAUUUAACAGUGUAGUCAUUUUCACUUCUUCUUCCUAUUUGAUACAGGACCUUUGAGGAAGAAGCUUUUGGUACCUGGUAGAUUGGACCAAGGACUGUAUAAGCUUUAUCAUUUCCCUUCUUCAUGUUCUUCUACUUCUGCCUUAAACAAUGUGAUGCAAAAUUCUACUUCUGCUUUGAACAAUGUCGUGUAAAGUUUGGAUAAUUUUCCUAGUUCAGCCUUGAAUAAUGUUGCAAGUAGUGUGAAUGUUUUUCAUGUUCCUCUUUUUACCGACAUUGUACAACAAGUGAAUGACACUAUAUUUUCUUCUUCUGCUUCUUUGAAUAAACUUGAUGUACUUUGACAUCACAAAAUGG